RNAcentral lists this ribosomal RNA (2931 nucleotides) under Escherichia coli. RNAcentral's name for it is "23S ribosomal RNA". It matches the Rfam family "Bacterial large subunit ribosomal RNA". The record is from RNAcentral. Lineage: Bacteria; Pseudomonadati; Pseudomonadota; Gammaproteobacteria; Enterobacterales; Enterobacteriaceae.
GGGUUGUGAGGUUAAGCGACUAAGCGUACACGGUGGAUGCCCUGGCAGUCAGAGGCGAUGAAGGACGUGCUAAUCUGCGAUAAGCGUCGGUAAGGUGAUAUGAACCGUUAUAACCGGCGAUUUCCGAAUGGGGAAACCCAGUGUGUUUCGACACACUAUCAUUAACUGAAUCCAUAGGUUAAUGAGGCGAACCGGGGGAACUGAAACAUCUAAGUACCCCGAGGAAAAGAAAUCAACCGAGAUUCCCCCAGUAGCGGCGAGCGAACGGGGAGCAGCCCAGAGCCUGAAUCAGUGUGUGUGUUAGUGGAAGCGUCUGGAAAGGCGCGCGAUACAGGGUGACAGCCCCGUACACAAAAAUGCACAUGCUGUGAGCUCGAUGAGUAGGGCGGGACACGUGGUAUCCUGUCUGAAUAUGGGGGGACCAUCCUCCAAGGCUAAAUACUCCUGACUGACCGAUAGUGAACCAGUACCGUGAGGGAAAGGCGAAAAGAACCCCGGCGAGGGGAGUGAAAAAGAACCUGAAACCGUGUACGUACAAGCAGUGGGAGCACGCUUAGGCGUGUGACUGCGUACCUUUUGUAUAAUGGGUCAGCGACUUAUAUUCUGUAGCAAGGUUAACCGAAUAGGGGAGCCGAAGGGAAACCGAGUCUUAACUGGGCGUUAAGUUGCAGGGUAUAGACCCGAAACCCGGUGAUCUAGCCAUGGGCAGGUUGAAGGUUGGGUAACACUAACUGGAGGACCGAACCGACUAAUGUUGAAAAAUUAGCGGAUGACUUGUGGCUGGGGGUGAAAGGCCAAUCAAACCGGGAGAUAGCUGGUUCUCCCCGAAAGCUAUUUAGGUAGCGCCUCGUGAAUUCAUCUCCGGGGGUAGAGCACUGUUUCGGCAAGGGGGUCAUCCCGACUUACCAACCCGAUGCAAACUGCGAAUACCGGAGAAUGUUAUCACGGGAGACACACGGCGGGUGCUAACGUCCGUCGUGAAGAGGGAAACAACCCAGACCGCCAGCUAAGGUCCCAAAGUCAUGGUUAAGUGGGAAACGAUGUGGGAAGGCCCAGACAGCCAGGAUGUUGGCUUAGAAGCAGCCAUCAUUUAAAGAAAGCGUAAUAGCUCACUGGUCGAGUCGGCCUGCGCGGAAGAUGUAACGGGGCUAAACCAUGCACCGAAGCUGCGGCAGCGACGCUGAUGCGUUGUUGGGUAGGGGAGCGUUCUGUAAGCCUGCGAAGGUGUGCUGUGAGGCAUGCUGGAGGUAUCAGAAGUGCGAAUGCUGACAUAAGUAACGAUAAAGCGGGUGAAAAGCCCGCUCGCCGGAAGACCAAGGGUUCCUGUCCAACGUUAAUCGGGGCAGGGUGAGUCGACCCCUAAGGCGAGGCCGAAAGGCGUAGUCGAUGGGAAACAGGUUAAUAUUCCUGUACUUGGUGUUACUGCGAAGGGGGGACGGAGAAGGCUAUGUUGGCCGGGCGACGGUUGUCCCGGUUUAAGCGUGUAGGCUGGUUUUCCAGGCAAAUCCGGAAAAUCAAGGCUGAGGCGUGAUGACGAGGCACUACGGUGCUGAAGCAACAAAUGCCCUGCUUCCAGGAAAAGCCUCUAAGCAUCAGGUAACAUCAAAUCGUACCCCAAACCGACACAGGUGGUCAGGUAGAGAAUACCAAGGCGCUUGAGAGAACUCGGGUGAAGGAACUAGGCAAAAUGGUGCCGUAACUUCGGGAGAAGGCACGCUGAUAUGUAGGUGAAGUCCCUUGCGGAUGGAGCUGAAAUCAGUCGAAGAUACCAGCUGGCUGCAACUGUUUAUUAAAAACACAGCACUGUGCAAACACGAAAGUGGACGUAUACGGUGUGACGCCUGCCCGGUGCCGGAAGGUUAAUUGAUGGGGUUAGCGCAAGCGAAGCUCUUGAUCGAAGCCCCGGUAAACGGCGGCCGUAACUAUAACGGUCCUAAGGUAGCGAAAUUCCUUGUCGGGUAAGUUCCGACCUGCACGAAUGGCGUAAUGAUGGCCAGGCUGUCUCCACCCGAGACUCAGUGAAAUUGAACUCGCUGUGAAGAUGCAGUGUACCCGCGGCAAGACGGAAAGACCCCGUGAACCUUUACUAUAGCUUGACACUGAACAUUGAGCCUUGAUGUGUAGGAUAGGUGGGAGGCUUAGAAGUGUGGACGCCAGUCUGCAUGGAGCCGACCUUGAAAUACCACCCUUUAAUGUUUGAUGUUCUAACGUUGACCCGUAAUCCGGGUUGCGGACAGUGUCUGGUGGGUAGUUUGACUGGGGCGGUCUCCUCCUAAAGAGUAACGGAGGAGCACGAAGGUUGGCUAAUCCUGGUCGGACAUCAGGAGGUUAGUGCAAUGGCAUAAGCCAGCUUGACUGCGAGCGUGACGGCGCGAGCAGGUGCGAAAGCAGGUCAUAGUGAUCCGGUGGUUCUGAAUGGAAGGGCCAUCGCUCAACGGAUAAAAGGUACUCCGGGGAUAACAGGCUGAUACCGCCCAAGAGUUCAUAUCGACGGCGGUGUUUGGCACCUCGAUGUCGGCUCAUCACAUCCUGGGGCUGAAGUAGGUCCCAAGGGUAUGGCUGUUCGCCAUUUAAAGUGGUACGCGAGCUGGGUUUAGAACGUCGUGAGACAGUUCGGUCCCUAUCUGCCGUGGGCGCUGGAGAACUGAGGGGGGCUGCUCCUAGUACGAGAGGACCGGAGUGGACGCAUCACUGGUGUUCGGGUUGUCAUGCCAAUGGCACUGCCCGGUAGCUAAAUGCGGAAGAGAUAAGUGCUGAAAGCAUCUAAGCACGAAACUUGCCCCGAGAUGAGUUCUCCCUGACUCCUUGAGAGUCCUGAAGGAACGUUGAAGACGACGACGUUGAUAGGCCGGGUGUGUAAGCGCAGCGAUGCGUUGAGCUAACCGGUACUAAUGAACCGUGAGGCUUAACCUUACAACGCCGAAGGUGUUU